GCCCCUAAUUCGUGGCUAAGUGGGAAAGCAUGUGGGACGGCCAAAACAACCAGGAUGUUGGCUUAGAAGCAGCCAUCAUUUAAAGAUAGCGUAACAGCUCACUGGUCUAGAUAAGCUGUCCUGCGGCGAAGAUGUAACGGGGCUCAAGCCACGAGCCGAAGCUCAGGAUGCACAGCGAUGUGCGUGGUAGCGGAGCGUUCUGUGAUAUAGCUCAUCAUGUCUUAUCUGCAGCGAUGCGGAGACGGACAUGGAGAGCUUUCUGUGAAGCCGGGCUGUAAGGCAUCCGGUGGAGAGAUCAGAAGCGAGAAUGUUGACAUGAGUAGCGACAAACAGGGUGAGAAACCCUGUCGCCGAAAGUCCAAGGGUUCCUGCUUAAAGCUAAUCUGAGCAGGGUAAGCCGGCCCCUAAGGCGAGGCCGAAAGGCGUAGUCGAUGGGAACCAGGUUAAUAUUCCUGGGCCAGUGGGAUGUGACGGAUCGCAGAUGUAGUUUGCCCUUAUCGGAUUGGGUGGGCUGCUGAGCGGUUCCUGGAAAUAGCCCCACAUCAGACCGUACCCUAAACCGACACAGGUGGACUGGUAGAGUAUACCAAGGCGCUUGAGAGAACCACGUUAAAGGAACUCGGCAAAAUGCCUCCGUAAGUUCGCGAGAAGGAGGCCCCAUAUGUGCGCAAGCAUGUGUGGGGGGCACAAACUAGGGGGUGGCGACUGUUUACUUAAAACACAGGGCUGUGCGAAGCCGUAAGGCGACGUAUACAGUCUGACGCCUGCCCGGUGCUGGAAGAUUAAGAGGAGGGGUGCAAGCUCUGAAUUGAAGUCCCAGUAAACGGCGGCCGUAACUAUAACGGUCCUAAGGUAGCGAAAUUCCUUGUCGGGUAAGUUCCGACCUGCACGAAUGGCGUAACGAUCUCCCCGCUGUCUCUAACGUGGACUCAGCGAAAUUGAACUGUGUGUCAAGAUGCACACUACCCGCGGUUAGACGGAAAGACCCCAUGAACCUUUACUCCAGCUUUGCAUUGGCAACAGGAUUGUGAUGUGCAGGAUAGGUGGUAGGCAUUGAAGCGGGGACGCCAGUCUUCGUGGAGCCUCCCUUGAGAUACCACCCUUCGCCAUCUUGAUAUCUAACCGCGGCCCGUUAUCCGGGUCCGGGACCCUGCAUGGUGGGGAGUUUGACUGGGGCGGUCGCCUCCCAAACAGUAACGGAGGCGCGCGAAGGUUGGC
Molecule: ribosomal RNA, 1218 nt
Filed under: wastewater metagenome
Description: bacterial LSU rRNA
Rfam family: Bacterial large subunit ribosomal RNA
Source: RNAcentral